Molecule: ribosomal RNA, 468 nt
Filed under: uncultured bacterium
Lineage: Bacteria
Description: partial 16S ribosomal RNA
Rfam family: Bacterial small subunit ribosomal RNA
Source: RNAcentral
GACGAACGCUGGCGGCGUGCUUAACACAUGCAAGUCGAACGGAAAGGCCCUGCUUUUGUGGGGUGCUCGAGUGGCGAACGGGUGAGUAACACGUGAGUAACCUGCCCUUGACUUUGGGAUAACUUCAGGAAACUGGGGCUAAUGCCGGAUAGGAGCUCCUGCUGCAUGGUGGGGGUUGGAAAGUUUCGGCGGUUGGGGAUGGACGCGCGGCUUAUCAGCUUGUUGGUGGGGUAGUGGCUUACCAAGGCUGUGACGGGUAGCCGGCCUGAGAGGGUGACCGGCCACAUUGGGACUGAGAUACGGCCCAGACUCCUACGGGAGGCAGCAGUGGGGAAUAUUGCACAAUGGGCGGAAGCCUGAUGCAGCAACGCCGCGUGCGGGAUGACGGCCUUCGGGUUGUAAACCGCUUUCGCCUGUGACGAAGCGUGAGUGACGGUAAUGGGUAAAGAAGCACCGGCUAACUACGUG